UUGCAUGCAGGGAAGACACAAUGGCUACCCUCACCUGGUUUAGCCGGACAGUCAAAGCCAUUCCUGGACCGCUGUCACACACCAACAGCUUUUAGGAGUCACAGAAUGAGAAGCAGUAGAUUCCCCAUAGGCCCAUGCAAUACAUGCAGAAGGAUGGAGGAUUCAGAAAGGAGGCAAGUUAUAUAAGAGGACAUGAUGUGUUACAGCAGUAGUCCUCAACCUCUGGGACCCACGUAUGAGGUUUAAGUGGCACAUGUGUGACCCACCUUAGGUGAGGUAUGGGUCCUGGCCCCACCAAUUCCUGAACCAUCUUGCUCAAGGAGAACUUCCGUAAGUAAAUUAAGACCAUACUAUUGGUCAAGUGCAUACAGUGCUAGGAGCAUAUCAAUGUGAACUCAUCCUUAGGUUCACAUUUAUAGAGUCAAGCUGGUAUAUGUAAUUGAAAAUGAGGGGAAAUCAUUUUGAGACAUGUUAGCGUACAUUUCUGUGGGAAAUGUUACACAAGAACAGAGAAUAACCCGCUGUAACAGUAUGCUGCUAGUGUAUAGCGGCAAGCAUAAUGAAUUGGCAGCUGUAUUACUUGGGAAAGCAAGUUUUCUAACAAAGGAAUUAAGGCUGAAGGGUAAUUCCCAAGGAUAAAAUUAUUACUGAUGUUAAAAGGCAUAAGCCCAAUUCUGUUUACUCUGCAAUGUUAUCUCAUGGUGCUCAAUGACACUUAUUUCCAGGCAUGAAUAUGCAGCUUCAGUGUCAGGGAAUUGCAGCAAGCAUACAUAUGUUUACCCAACUAGAAAUCUUAGGAUAUUUGUAGUACAGAAAUACUAACCUACCAUGAGUAGUUCAGCAAGGUUGUAUACAAAGCUGAAUUUUCUGUGAUUGCACAGGAACAAAACACAACAUUGAGAAAGAAGAGUAUCCUGGCCGAAAACUCAGGAGGAAGAUGGUAUUGAGAAUUUCUCGUAAUGAAGCCUUCAAUACCCUCUUGCACAAGCCCUACCCUUCAUUGGAGCUUCUGGCCCCAGAUGGUAAUGUGAUGUAAUGUCUGAAAAGGGUUCCCCAUGUCAGCUCUAUGACAGGCAUGUACACAGAACUAUACAAAGCCGAUAACAAAGUUUUUCAUGCAAGUUGUAAAUGUGAACUUUCUUCGUCCAACAGCAAUGUGAAUCUUUGCUCCUGAAUUACUUUGACCUGAAUGUAGUGCUAUGCAUCUUGAGCUGUAAAACCAAGGUUGUAACUCUCCUCUUAGCAUGAAGGGAGGUUGGAUGAGUGAACAGAAGAGAAGGGACACGUUCUAUAUCCCUUUUUGUUAUCCAGGUUUUUUGAAUAUUUUUACUGGAUUGUCAGAAAUUCCAGCUUUAAUUCUACGCAAGACUAAAAUCACGAACUUCUUUUGAAGGUUUUGUCAUUUGAGCAUUACCCUACCUGUGCAUUCAGUAUCAAAAUGUGUGUACCAACCAAUUUUUAUGGCAAAAGAAAUCUGUAUUCAGAGAACACAUCAGACCUGCAUUACUCAUUCAGCUAAUGAUUGUGUUAUAUUGGAACUCACAAAAAAUACUUUGCUAGGCUCUUUCCACUGUAUUGCACCAAAGAAAAACAAAAUUAAUGGGACGUUGGUUAAGAGGGUCUCACACGUAUGGUACUUUGCUUGUUUAUAACAGACCAUUUUUUGUAUUUGUCACAGAAUACUAUUGGCCAUGCAGAAUCUUCCUUUUCCCAGUGCUAUAUGUUCAGCUCUUAGGGUGCACUGACCAAAUUUUACCAAGUCUCAUUAGCCUCCACAUAGCUGAAAUCCAGUUGACGUUUCAGAGCUGAAAUGACUGCAAAGAAGUUGUCAUUGGCAGAGACCUGGUUCUAGCAAUAAGCUUUAAGGGAUAUAGAUCAAGAAGUCUUGUUACCAGAUAUUUUGCUGUUUGAAUAUCCAUGCAUUUUCUCCCCAGCAGGAAAGAAGAGAAUCUACUUCUAUCUUUAGUCAACCUCAUUCUCGUCUCCCUUACUAGUAACAUGGUCUUGAAUAACAUGCCAGCUAAGUGAAUUUUUUUAGUAUAAAGGCUGAAGAAUUGCCUAAUUUUUUUCUCCCAAGUUAGUGGAAACUUUUAAUGUGAUGGGUAAUUGGAUAGAAUAAAGACUUAACAUAAACAUCAAUUGCUAGGUAAAUCAUUUAACCAGAGCAUGGGUCCCUUUCAACUUCCUACUAGGUCACUUUCCAGCAGUAAAGCAUCAAGUACCUGCAAAAUCAGAGGGUGAAGGUGCAUAUACUUACUUCCCACUCCUCCUAGUUCAUACUGACAAUGGCCAAAGGUAGGCUCCUACCUGCUCCAUUUUUCUCCCAAGGAAGAGCUGGUCACACAAGGAGCAGUUUUCCACAUGAUGAAAUUUCCACAUGAUGAAAUUUUAUUCCUCUUAUUUGAGAUGUCAUUGUCUCAAUACAUAUUAUUAGACAUGCUUUCUAGCACUAAUUGCUGCCAUUGGGAGUAUUUAGAAAUUCCAUGCAGGCCUGUUUGACUGCAAUAUCAGCUGACAGCAUUUAUUGGUUUGAUAUAAGCCACCUUUGGUACCACAGGUAAAUGCGAGGGUGGGACACACACCUACAAGUUUGCCCCUUCACUGCUAGUUCCAUGUGAUUACUUGAAUGAAAUGUACUCUUCACAUACUUCUUUCUCCACCACAAAAUGUACUUUGUCCAUAAUGUAGUUUUCCUAAUGUGCAAUUUGAAAGACUACAGGAUUUUAACACAAGAUAUAUAAUUGUGUUCUUGGACAGUAUCUUUAGGAAUACUAUAUAUAAAAUCAUUUUCCUAAUGACUGGCUAUUCUGCGGUUUGUCAAUCUAUGCAGAGAAAAAAGAAUGCAAAUAUUGCUGCUGAAGUGAUGUAUUUGACAAUUCUACAGUUUAAAUGAUACAGCAAUUAACUUUGUAUAAUACAGUUGUGGUACAAUAGUCAAUGUUCAGCUUUUAUUCUUCCACAUUUGCCUCUGUAAUGUUAAUUUGUACUAUGUAUCUGAAAAAUAAACCCCAAACAAAAAACUUCAGCCAAACUCCCCUUCCUCCUCCAGCUUUAUUGAUAGUUUAAAAUUACAUUUCUAUAUUCUAGGACUUCAAUUGCUUUUACCAUCUGACUUUAAAAACUGAUUACAAGCAAAUGAAACUCAACAGUUGUCUAAGUGAUAUAGUAUACAAAAAUAACAUCUUGAUUUCUGUGAAAAUGCAUUUCUUUGCAAGUCCUGAAUAGCUCCAAAUUGUGUAUGCUCUAAAGCACUGAUGUUCUGGGUUUGAUUUAAUUUGAAAUAUUUAAUGUUUCCCAUUACCUUGUUAUCUCAUAUUAGACAUUCACUUAUUGUAUUACUGUUACUUCAGUUCUCGAUUUCUCCCUCACUCUCGUGGCCAUUAACAGGCAUGUGCAUUGUUUUAUUUAUCCCACUUAGCUAUAUGCUCUAGGUAAGGCCUGAUACAGAUACUCGGUGUUAUAACAGUUAUUGAGGUCAGAUAAUCCAAGGCCAUUAUUGUAAUUAGUUACUGUGGAAGUUCAGACACUUCCAGUUUGUUUUCCUCCUGCAUAUGAUCACUUCCAUGGAACCCAGGGAGG
Molecule: long non-coding RNA, 3579 nt
Organism: Podarcis muralis (Common wall lizard)
Lineage: Eukaryota; Metazoa; Chordata; Lepidosauria; Squamata; Lacertidae
Source: RefSeq, a predicted model, not a curated record